UGGGGAAUCUUGCGCAAUGGGCGAAAGCCUGACGCAGCCAUGCCGCGUGGAUGAUGAAGGUCUUAGGAUUGUAAAAUCCUUUCACCGGUGAAGAUAAUGACUGUAGCCGGAGAAGAAGCCCCGGCUAACUUCGUGCCAGCAGCCGCGGUAAUACGAAGGGGGCUAGCGUUGCUCGGAAUUACUGGGCGUAAAGGGAGCGUAGGCGGACAUUUAAGUCAGGGGUGAAAUCCCGAGGCUCAACCUCGGAACUGCCUUUGAUACUGGGUGUCUUGAGUGUGAGAGAGGUAUGUGGAACUCCGAGUGUAGNGGUGAAAUUCGUAGAUAUUCGGAAGAACACCAGUGGCGAAGGCGACAUACUGGGCUCAUUACUGACGCUCG
RNAcentral lists this ribosomal RNA (378 nucleotides) under uncultured bacterium. RNAcentral's name for it is "partial 16S ribosomal RNA". It matches the Rfam family "Bacterial small subunit ribosomal RNA", at positions 355 to 749 of the family's 1533-position model. The record is from RNAcentral.